Molecule: ribosomal RNA, 484 nt
Filed under: uncultured bacterium
Lineage: Bacteria
Description: partial 16S ribosomal RNA
Rfam family: Bacterial small subunit ribosomal RNA
Source: RNAcentral
AUUGAACGCUGGCGGCAUGCUUUACACAUGCAAGUCGAACGGCAGCGCGGGCUUCGGCCUGGCGGCGAGUGGCGAACGGGUGAGUAAUACAUCGGAACGUGCCCAGUAGUGGGGGAUAGCUCGGCGAAAGCCGGAUUAAUCCCGCAUACGACCUGAGGGUGAAAGCGGGGGAUCUUCGGACCUCGCGCUAUUGGAGCGGCCGAUGGCAGAUUAGCUAGUUGGUGGGGUAAAGGCCUACCAAGGCGACGAUCUGUAGCUGGCCUGAGAGGACGACCAGCCACACUGGGACUGAGACACGGCCCAGACUCCUACGGGAGGCAGCAGUGGGGAAUUUUGGACAAUGGGCGAAAGCCUGAUCCAGCAAUGCCGCGUGUGUGAUGAAGGCCUUCGGGUUGUAAAGCACUUUUGGCGGGAACGAAAAGGACUGUGCCAAUACCACGGUUCGAUGACGGUACCCGCAGAAUAAGCACCGGCUAACUACGUG